AGAUAUAGCACAAUGGCAAUGAGUCUUCUCAGAAGGGUUGCAAAUCCAACAAGAAAGGCAAAUUUUAAUCUUCUGUUAACCUCACUUCUGUUAUUGAUUUCUCCAGUGUUUUUAAAAGAAGGGAAGAGAAGAACCAAAAGCAAUAUGUGAUAGAAAUCUCAUUAUUUCAACAGAAUUCAACCCCACAAUUCUAUAGAACCUGGUGAGUUUGGAGUGCACCUUAAAUGUAGGAAGCUUCCCGAACCCACAAAAUCUGACCACUCAGGCGGUGAACAGGGUGAACAGAGUAGAGCUGACGGAGAAACAAGAUAAUACACUUUGGAGAGAGAGUGAUCCCCAGCACUGGACACCAGCCAGCACCUUGUGCCGCAGCCACAGGGAACAGCCCCAGUGUACCCAGAGCACUGGUUUCAGCAGAUGGGUAAGAUGUAGAGGCAAGGGGAGAGCCUGGGUUGCAGCACCACCAUUUUCUUCCCACACCCUCCCUCUGCUCCCUCACCUUUCCAAACAAAGCUCUAAUUUCCAGUGACUUUAGAGCAAGCGGUGCCUUGGCCUCAGCCAGAAGCUGGCCUAGGGCUCACCUGAACUUUCUGCUUGCAUCCCUGGAGCUGUAAAGCUGCCACCUCAAGUUUACCCAAAGGUACAGCUGCUGAGAAACUGAGUUUAGUUCCUCAUUGACACCUGGUAUCUCCUUGCUGAUACAGGCUGACACCCAGCCUGGCCACCUCUGGGUUCCUGAACCUCCUCCUCCUCCUCACACCUGCCUCCCCACCUUUCUGCAUCCCCCUGACAAGCAGCAGAGCCUGUUUUCCAGACCAUUUUAAGGAUUUAAGGACUUAACCUUUCCUCUCUGCUCUUGUUCCCAGAUUUUUCUCCAGGCAUUUCUCACCUUGAGCCUGGAUUACAGCAGCACGCCCGGCCCCACCAGCUGUAGCCUUGCCUCCUUCACAUUCCCACGGAAAAGUCCUCCUCUUGGCCCAUCACCGGGGUCCGUUGUCAUCCUGCCUCACCCCCCUUUUGAUCUCACAGCACCAUGUCACCAAAGGCCAGUAAUGUCCAGGGAAGAGUAAAAGAAUUGAAUGCA
RNAcentral lists this long non-coding RNA (1084 nucleotides) under Anas platyrhynchos platyrhynchos (common mallard). RNAcentral's name for it is "lncRNA (ENSAPLG00000025724.1)". The record is from RNAcentral. Lineage: Eukaryota; Metazoa; Chordata; Aves; Anseriformes; Anatidae.